GUUAUGAUGAUUGAAUGAGUUAUCACCUAUAAAGCAUCCCUAGAACAAAAUAAGUAUGUUUCAAAUAAAUACAAAUAAAAAUUCCAAUCAUCACUGUA
This 98-nucleotide non-coding RNA is filed under the name Pongo abelii (Sumatran orangutan). The record is from RNAcentral. Lineage: Eukaryota; Metazoa; Chordata; Mammalia; Primates; Hominidae.